This 398-nucleotide ribosomal RNA is filed under the name uncultured bacterium. Its description in RNAcentral is "partial 16S ribosomal RNA". It matches the Rfam family "Bacterial small subunit ribosomal RNA", at positions 523 to 918 of the family's 1533-position model. The record is from RNAcentral.
AUACGUAGGGUGCGAGCGUUGUCCGGAAUUACUGGGCGUAAAGAGCUCGUAGGUGGUUUGUCGCGUCGUCUGUGAAAUUCCGGGGCUUAACUCCGGGCGUGCAGGCGAUCCGGGCAUAACUUGAGUACUGUAGGGGAGACUGGAAUUCCUGGUGUAGCGGUGAAAUGCGCAGAUAUCAGGAGGAACACCGGUGGCGAAGGCGGGUCUCUGGGCAGUAACUGACGCUGAGGAGCGAAAGCAUGGGUAGCGAACAGGAUUAGAUACCCUGGUAGUCCAUGCCGUAAACGGUGGGCGCUAGGUGUAGGGGUCUUCCACGACUUCUGUGCCGUAGCUAACGCAUUAAGCGCCCCGCCUGGGGAGUACGGCCGCAAGGCUAAAACUCAAAGGAAUGGACGGGG